Molecule: ribosomal RNA, 592 nt
Filed under: Wolbachia endosymbiont of Bemisia tabaci
Lineage: Bacteria; Pseudomonadati; Pseudomonadota; Alphaproteobacteria; Rickettsiales; Anaplasmataceae
Description: bacterial SSU rRNA
Rfam family: Bacterial small subunit ribosomal RNA
Source: RNAcentral
AUUAGAUGAGCCUAUAUUAGAUUAGCUAGUUGGUGGAGUAAUAGCCUACCAAGGCAAUGAUCUAUAGCUGAUCUGAGAGGAUGAUCAGCCACACUGGAACUGAGAUACGGUCCAGACUCCUACGGGAGGCAGCAGUGGGGAAUAUUGGACAAUGGGCGAAAGCCUGAUCCAGCCAUGCCGCAUGAGUGAAGAAGGCCUUUGGGUUGUAAAGCUCUUUUAGUGAGGAAGAUAAUGACGGUACUCACAGAAGAAGUCCUGGCUAACUCCGUGCCAGCAGCCGCGGUAAUACGGAGAGGGCUAGCGUUAUUCGGAAUUAUUGGGCGUAAAGGGCGCGUAGGCUGAUUAAUAAGUUAAAAGUGAAAUCCCGAGGCUUAACCUUGGAAUUGCUUUUAAAACUAUUAAUCUAGAGAUUGAAAGAGGAUAGAGGAAUUCCUGAUGUAGAGGUAAAAUUCGUAAAUAUUAGGAGGAACACCAGUGGCGAAGGCGUCUAUCUGGUUCAAAUCUGACGCUGAAGCGCGGAGGCGUGGGGAGCAAACAGGAUUAGAUACCCUGGUAGUCCACGCUGUAAACGAUGAAUGUUAAAUAUGGGAAG